GUCCGCACCGGGGCGCCCUGCGCACACCCUUACCGCCCGGCGGCGUCCGCCGACCCCGGAGUCCUGGCCCGGGGCGCGGGAGUCCGGAGGGCAGGACCGGGACGCUCGCGCUGGCCUCCCGUGCGGUGGCGUGCGUGAGCGUCCCUUCCACUUCGGCAGCCCGCACCGCCUCCGUAGCCUCCCAGGUCUGGCCUCCUGCCCCCCUCCGAGCCCCACCGCGCGCCGACCCGGAUCCCGGGCGCCUCACGGCGCGGCUGCCAGCUGGGCCUGGCGCCGAGGCUCGGGCCCCCAAGUUGUGGGAGGACGCCGGGCCUGGUACGUAGGACCCUGGGGAGCUCGCUGCCUGGGCUGUGCUGGGAAAACGCCACCCCCAAAAGAGUUCUGUUUUCUUUGGUUGUAAUAAGUUGACACUUCCCUCGGACUCGGGGGAAGACUGUUACCAGAGGAGCCUCCUUCGGCACGAGCCUCGUCGCUGCCGCCUCGGGAAGGGAGGAGAGCGCAGCCGACCGGUGGCCUGACGCGGUCGCAUCACAGGUGUCUCAGUGGCCGCGCGCUUGGAGCAGGUCACAGACGUGCGCGCGGCGGCGAUCCGGGCUUCCCUGCGAGGCCGAGGCCCAGGCCGGCGGCCCGGUGCGUGGCGGGCGGCGAGGGGGCGCUGUGGCCCGCGACUGCGGCCUGCUGGGCUCCGCGCAGGGCAGGGCUCGCGUGGGAGAAGGAAGACACCGCGAGCGCUUCGGACCCGGCCGCUCCCACCGCUUCUGUUACUCUGGCCUUCCUUGGAGUACCCCGGGAGAACGCAGCUCUGCGUGCAGCAGCCCUCGUGCAUUCCUGCUUCCGGACGCCAGAGCGCACCUCAGUGCAGGCCAGUGCAGCGCCCUGCUGCGGCACCGCGGGCCAUCCCCGGAGCAGGUAGGCAGACUCCGCCGCCGCCCGCCGGGAAGACGCGGGAAGCUCCGUCUGAUCGAGCAGUCAGGCCCUGAGGAGUGUUUGUCUGGGGCCGCGUUGCCCUUGGCCGCCCCUUAACUAGGUGUGCGCACCCAAAGCAGUUCGCCCUCCCCGUGGGCUGGGGUCGUGGUCCACACGAAUUCACCCUGCGCCCAAACUCCCCGAAGGACUUACACGCGUGAGACUGGGUCGGCAGGGCAGAGGAGGGUUGUUGUUUGUUUUUUUUUUUGAACGUGGCAUGGAGUGCAGAAAUAUUUUUUAAAGGAUAUUCGUUACAAGUCAAACCCUCAGCAGGGCAGACCGCAGCUGCGACUGACAGGAGAGUUCUGCAGAGGACGGGUAAGGACACUGUGCAGAAUCCGUUCAGUGUCAGCAGAGACCCUGGGCCUGGAGCAGGGUUCACUUGUGCUGGGGAGACCCCUGGCAGGAAAAGAACCUCAUGCCGCCUGCACCAACCAACAGGGCCUAGGGGUGCUGAGCCUGCACCCCUGGCUGUGACAGUUCUGGUUGCUGUGGGGAAAUUAGGGAAGCAUCCCCUCCUCACCUGCUGCCCUCUGCAGCGAAGAGGCCACUGGGGAGGGGAGCCGGGUGCUGCUCCAGGGCAGCGUGGAGGCACCGUGCGCAGUGUGGGCAGGAGAGCGCCUUGUCCCGCCACCCCGUGGGUCUGUGGCCUGGAGCGGCCCCCAGAGCCCACAUCCACCCACGGAAGAGGUCCCAAGGGCGGAAGAUGGGGGAGGAGAACACAGAGAAGACGGCCCCAGGUGAGAUUUAAAAGGCAGUCUCAGCUCUGUUGCUCUGUUCCCGAGGUUGUUUGUGAAGUUCGGCCUCAUGUUAGCCUCUCUUGGCCUGGGAGGCCAGGUGCAUGGGACUGCAGCACUGUUCUUUCCUGUGAUAUUGUAGAGAUUAAAGUUAAGUACUGUCAGCCAGCUGUGUGGUGCCCCUGUGUAAUCCCAGCGCUCAGGAGGCUGAGGCAGGAGGAGUGCCGUGAGUUCAAUGCCAGGCUGAAGUAUGUAGUGAGACCCUGUCUCGAAAAAAAUAAUCAAGUACUAGCUUUUAAAAGAAGCAUUAUAAAUGCAGGAGUAUAAUAUGCUAGUUUGGGAAAACUUGGUUGAAGAUAUCACUUUCUUAAACAUUUGCGUUUGAUUUUUUUCUGCUCUCUCCAUUCCUCCGCCAUUGCAACCUCAGGCCCUGGCGGCUAAGGCCCUGGGGAUGCAGGGCUGGGAGUUGCACGCUUUCAUGCUGCCACGCUGCACGUGCUUCUCCAUGUCACUGUGAACGCACUUUGGGUGAGCAUAUUGUAGAAGUCAGCCAUGGAUUAAAGCCAGGACUGCAGAAAGGCAGGAGGACAGGGAAGGGCCAGGGAGGCAGGGAGAAGACCUGGUCAGGCGGCUCUGCUGGGCCCUGGCCCGGGCCCUUCCCCCCUCUGCGUCUCUGCUCCGGCAGACCGGGUGCAGUGUUCUGGGCCCCUCCACCCGCGCUGCCUUCCCUGCAGCCCCAGAACGGGAUCUCCACACACACUGCCCGCUCACCACCCCUGCACAGUGGACGAGGUCUUGGCCUGGCUCACUUGGGAAUCGCCAGACCUCCCCGUGUUCACUCCACUCCGACCUGUUCACUGGAGGCCGGGACGGGAGCAGAGGGCUGGCGCCUGCUGCACCCCGCUCCCUGCGCUGGGCACCCUGACCUCUCACCUCCUGCACACAGCAGGCCACCUCCCAGGCCAGCGCCCCCUCCUUGGAGGCUUCAACCUCAAGACUCUUGUGCUGCUGCCUCCUGGCUGCUGAGGCAGCCACUUCCAGGGACGCUGGCUCUCCCUUCCUGCCCCCACCCUGCCCGGCACGCUUGGCACUGUGGGCAUAGGACAGGCACCGAGCAGAUGCAUGGACGCAUGUGUGACUGGCCCUUGGCAACUCACCUUUCUGCCAAAAGCGAUAGCAGGGCUUGUGGGUGAGAAACAACGAUGACGUGGACGCCUGCGUACAGUCCCCACUGCCUGCUGCUCCGGCGGCCUCCCCACACCUGGUCAUUGCUACGUUUCCAUCUGAUGUUUUCCGGAUGACCCCCACAGCCUCAGGACAUCUUCAGUGGGGCUGCAGGGAGGCGACUGCAUUGUGGGGGCUGAUGGCUGGCUUGCUGUUGGGAGGGGCCGUUGGAGGACACAGGUCACUGGGGGCGUGGCCCAGAAGGGUCUGCCUUCCUCCCUCAUCUCCCUGCUUCAUCUACACCCUGCCACGAGCAGCUCUCCUCUGCCAGGCCCCUCUGGCCUGCACCCUGCCUCGGAGCCAGCUGACUAUGGACUGAAGCCUCCACAGACUGGGAACCGACAUAAACCUCUCCUUAUAGUUGAGGCUGUCCAGUGUCGUGUUCUAGCAACAAAACAGGUGACUAAGACAGUCACGGCCACUGCAAGGAAGCCGGUCCAAGCACAUCACUCCUUGGCAGCCCCAAGUUUUAAGACCAACAGAUACAGACAUUUAAAAUCACAUUUAAUUCUAAAAUUCCCCGCUUGGCAAUCCAAUCUUGGAGGACAGGAAUUGCCCCCUGACCUUCCUGCCCCCAGCACAUGGCUGUGAACUGAGUGAAUGAUGAAGUGCAUGUUGACAUUUGGGAAGAGGAAACUUAAGAGCAAACCGGACUUGGAGGAUAUUUUCAAUACAAAUUCAGAGCGGGCCUGUGUUAGAAACCAAUGUAAAAAGUCAUGUAGGCCCCAGCAAGGUUUUCAUAGACUGCGUGAGCUUAUGCUUAAGUAAGCAUGCAAAAGCUAAGGCUUCAGAAGAGCUCAAAGAGCUUUUAAGCAGCAGAAGAGAGUGGGAGGACUCAGCCUACCUGACCCUGAGAUGAGUGGAUGUCAACAUGAGGAUCGGUUUGUGGUGGAGGGGUGGACACAGGCCAGCAGAGCAGAGCGGACAACCCAGAGGGGCCUGUGCUCACGGGGCCCCAUUAGUUAUUUCCUAGCUCUGGGUUUGAGCCCAGGGCGUCACACCUGCGAGGUCCGGCCUCCAUCACUGAGCCCGCCCCCAGCCCCAUUUGCUUUUUGCGGGGGAGGGAUUCAGCCUUUUUAGCAACUGGAGCUGGAGCAAAGGGGCAACACUAAGACAGCAAGUUUUACAAAAGAGUUUCUUCACACAGCCAGGCGUGGAGGAGGAGAGCCAGGCUCAGCCUCCUCCCAGAGGGCAGGGCUUAGGGACAUUCAUGGAAGGAGUAGGAUGGCCUAAGGCGUGGGGAGGCCAGGGGCACAGGGGAGGUUGGCGGUGGGCUGCACGGCUCCUCAGAGGACACACGUCUGGAUAACACGGCACUGACAGAGCAGAGGGUGCAGCUCUUGACCCCUGGGUGUUGAAGAAGUCAUCUGUGACCCUGCACAGCCCCAUGCUCAGAGCUGGGGCCCUGCCAAGGUAGCCGGGCAGCCCAGAUGCCCAUUGCCUACCCUCCAGCUGGUCACCUGCAGAGGAGGUGGCUGGUCAGUGACACCAUGCGCAUCUUCCUGACCUCCAAAAUGCAAGACUUUCAAAGUCACCUAAAAGCAAGUAACAAUGCAAGUGUCCCUCAGUUUCAGACCUGCAGUUCCCUGCUUGACCGCCGGACCCUGCUCCUGAAGAGAGGAGUCGCUGGGUGCGGCCUCUCAAUGUCAGGCGUCUUUGCAGAGAGCCGCCCUCCCGGAGAGGUGCUCACGGGGGCCUGGACCUGGCCUGCGUCCUGCCGGUGAGCGGCACUGUGUGCAGGUGGACUGCGCUUCAUCACCCUUUGGCUGCUUUAGACUUGUGAGCUGUUCCCAGUGCUCGGGCUGUUUUGGAAAACAGACGAACACUGCUUUGACUUCUUAGUGCAGCCCUCUAUGACAACUUUUCAUUCAUCCUGGGUGAAACCCUAGGAGUGGAGCAGGUCAUCAGAGUCUGGCCUAUUUUGCCGACCACGACAAUCUUCAGUUCUACCCAUUGCUGGCAGCUGACAUGAUUUCCUGUUCGUUAUGGCUGAGGGCUUCUCGGCUCCAGUCUUACCCACUUUUCUCUGUCAGUUCACCUUUGGACAGACACCUACCUGAUUCCCCAACCUGGGCGUUCGGUUUUGAAAAGCUGCCAGGUUGUUGCCUGAGCCGGGCCGAUGUGGCAGAGCUCCAUCGCUGCUCUCUGGCCUGCACCUGGCGUGGUUGGCUUUUCAGCUGGGGCCGUCCUGGGUCCUGGUGGGCACUUCCUUAGGUCCCGAAUCUCUGGCCUCCCCUCGUCAUGGGGUCAGCCAGACGGACUGUGUGUCUGUUUCCCUGUCCCUGAAUGCUGUGGCAUUUGAAGGCUGACGGCUCAGCUGUCCUUCCAGGGCCAGGACCUGGUGGAGGUGGCAGGCUCAGCUGGCAGCACAACAUUCACGUGCAGUCCAGGCGACACCAGGUUUGUACAAAAUUCUACAUCAACGAUUAUGUUGUGUGUGCAUGAAGAAAUUCCCUCUUCCCUUUCUCAUCUGUCCACUGCCCUCACUGGGAUGCCAGCAUCCUGGGGGAAGGUGAGGGUCCCUUGUCCCUGCCCAGCUGGUGCCUGCUCUGGCCCUGAGAGGCAUCCUGAGCAGGUGAGAACAUUCCCUUCACUUGAUCACCAAGUGCUGUUACCAUGAACGGAGCUUCACUUUUCUGGGCAAUUACUUUUCUCCAUCUACUGAGAUAUAUUUUUCUAUGUAAAUCUACUUCCUUAAUGUAUGACAUUAAUUGAUUUUCAAAUGUUAAAUUAACCUUGCAUUCCUGGAAUUAACUCCAGUUGGCUGUGGUUAAAUUGCCAUUUUACAGGCCAGUGUCUCUUACAGACACAGAAAUAAAAAUUCUCCGACAUAGGAGCGAAUUGAGUUCAGUAAUGUAUUAAAGGAUAACAUAUGAUGUGUAAAUGGAUUUAUUGUAGGAAUUUUGAAAAGUCAGUCAAUGUAAUUUUCCUAUUAGCUGAAUAAAGGAGAAAAAUC
Molecule: long non-coding RNA, 5883 nt
Organism: Heterocephalus glaber (naked mole-rat)
Lineage: Eukaryota; Metazoa; Chordata; Mammalia; Rodentia; Bathyergidae
Source: Ensembl